UACAGGGGGGGCAAGCGUUAAUCGGAAUUACUGGGCGUAAAGCGUGCGCAGGCGGUUGUGCAAGACAGGUGUGAAAUCCCCAGGCUCAACCUGGGAACUGCGUCUGAUACUGAUUGGCUUGAAUCCGGGAGAGGGAUGCAGAAUUCCAGGUGUAGCGGUGAAAUGCGUAGAUAUCGGGAGGAACACCAGUGGCGAAGGCGACUACCUGGCCUGUUUCUUGACGCUGAGGCGCGAAAGCUAGGGGAGCAAACGGG
This 254-nucleotide ribosomal RNA is filed under the name uncultured bacterium. RNAcentral's name for it is "partial 16S ribosomal RNA". It matches the Rfam family "Bacterial small subunit ribosomal RNA", at positions 524 to 776 of the family's 1533-position model. The record is from RNAcentral.